Long non-coding RNA from Papaver somniferum (opium poppy), 319 nucleotides. RefSeq lists it as uncharacterized. The record is from RefSeq and is a predicted model, not a curated record. NCBI's taxonomy places the organism in Eukaryota, Viridiplantae, Streptophyta, Magnoliopsida, Ranunculales, Papaveraceae. The transcript has 3 exons.
UUUUAUUCCUAGUGAUGUUGUAUUAUUUUUAUCUGUACAGAAUCAAUAAAGCCUUUUGUAACCCUCGAAAGAAGAUUUCUUGAUUCAUGUGUGACAUCCACAAAUCAGGUAUAUAUGAGAUGAUCAUUUUGCUUUUCGGGUUUGCAUUUGUUGUUGGUCUCCCAGUUCUUGAUCCUUGCAAACUAUACGGUAUCUCUAAAGAUGAAUUCGUGGUGUAAUGGUAUCAUAACUGACUCUAGUCAGAAGAUGCGUGUUCGAUUCACUUGGCGACGGCGACGGACUGGCGGCAGCGGCGGACUAGCAGCGGACUAGCAGCGGU